GAUUUCUGGCCUGGUGCGCCUGGCCCGCCAGCCUUGUGCUGUGUGAGUGUCGGUGCGUGCCUGCCAUCCUUCUGUCUGUAUGUUCGACUCUUCAUUGAGCCCGAUCAUGUGGACAGAUCAUUUACUUUGAAAAAAUUAGAGUGUUUAAAGCAGGCGUCUCGCUAUGAAUACAUUAGCAUGGAAUAAUAAGCUAGGACUUCGGUUCUAUUUUGUUGGUUUCUAGGACGGAAGUAAUGAUUGAUAGGGAUAGUUGGGGGUGCUAGUAUUCAGUGGCCAGAGGUGAAAUUCUCGGAUUCACUGAAGACUAACUUAUGCGAAAGCAUU
This 324-nucleotide ribosomal RNA is filed under the name Allapsa sp. RNAcentral describes it as "SSU rRNA". The stretch from base 109 to 324 matches the Rfam family "Eukaryotic small subunit ribosomal RNA", at positions 739 to 955 of the family's 1831-position model. Lineage: Eukaryota; Cercozoa; Glissomonadida; Allapsidae. The record is from RNAcentral.